AGAAUUUGAUCUUGGUUCAGAUUGAACGCUGGCGGCGUGGAUGAGGCAUGCAAGUCGAACGGAAUAAUGACUUCGGUUGUUAUUUAGUGGCGGAAGGGUUAGUAAUACAUAGAUAAUCUGUCCUCAACUUGGGAAUAACGGUUGGAAACGACCGCUAAUACCGAAUGUGGUAUGUUUAGGCAUCUAAAACAUAUUAAAGAAGGGGAUCUUCGGACCUUUCGGUUGAGGGAGAGUCUAUGGGAUAUCAGCUUGUUGGUGGGGUAAUGGCCUACCAAGGCUUUGACGUCUAGGCGGAUUGAGAGAUUGACCGCCAACACUGGGACUGAGACACUGCCCAGACUUCUACGGAAGGCUGCAGUCGAGAAUCUUUCGCAAUGGACGAAAGUCUGACGAAGCGACGCCGCGUGUGUGAUGAAGGCUCUAGGGUUGUAAAGCACUUUCGCUUGGGAAUAAGAGAGAUUGGCUAAUAUCCAAUCGAUUUGAGCGUACCAGGUAAAGAAGCACCGGCUAACUCCGUGCCAGCAGCUGCGGUAAUACGGAGGGUGCUAGCGUUAAUCGGAUUUAUUGGGCGUAAAGGGCGUGUAGGCGGAAAGGAAAGUUAGAUGUUAAAUCUUGGGGCUCAACCCCAAGCCAGCAUCUAAUACUAUCUUUCUAGAGGGUAGAUGGAGAAAAGGGAAUUCCACGUGUAGCGGUGAAAUGCGUAGAUAUGUGGAAGAACACCAGUGGCGAAGGCGCUUUUCCAAUUUACACCUGACGCUAAGGCGCGAAAGCAAGGGGAGCAAACAGGAUUAGAUACCCUGGUAGUCCUUGCCGUAAACGAUGCAUACUUGAUGUGGAUAGUCUCAACCCUAUCCGUGUCGUAGCUAACGCGUUAAGUAUGCCGCCUGAGGAGUACACUCGCAAGGGUGAAACUCAAAAGAAUUGACGGGGGCCCGCACAAGCAGUGGAGCAUGUGGUUUAAUUCGAUGCAACGCGAAGAACCUUACCUGGGCUUGACAUGUAUUUGACCGCGGCAGAAAUGUCGUUUUCCGCAAGGACAGAUACACAGGUGCUGCAUGGCUGUCGUCAGCUCGUGCCGUGAGGUGUUGGGUUAAGUCCCGCAACGAGCGCAACCCUUAUCGUUAGUUGCCAACACUUAGGGUGGGAACUCUAACGAGACUGCCUGGGUUAACCAGGAGGAAGGCGAGGAUGACGUCAAGUCAGCAUGGCCCUUAUGCCCAGGGCUACACACGUGCUACAAUGGCCAGUACAGAAGGUAGCAAUAUCGUGAGAUGGAGCAAAUCCUCAAAGCUGGCCCCAGUUCGGAUUGUAGUCUGCAACUCGACUACAUGAAGUCGGAAUUGCUAGUAAUGGCGUGUCAGCUAUAACGCCGUGAAUACGUUCCCGGGCCUUGUACACACCGCCCGUCACAUCAUGGGAGUUGGUUUUGCCUUAAGUCGUUGACUCAACCUGCAAAGGAGAGAGGCGCCCAAGGUGAGGCUGAUGACUGGGAUGAAGUCGUAACAAG
Molecule: ribosomal RNA, 1507 nt
Filed under: Chlamydia psittaci
Lineage: Bacteria; Pseudomonadati; Chlamydiota; Chlamydiia; Chlamydiales; Chlamydiaceae
Description: bacterial SSU rRNA
Rfam family: Bacterial small subunit ribosomal RNA
Source: RNAcentral